RNAcentral lists this ribosomal RNA (468 nucleotides) under uncultured bacterium. RNAcentral's name for it is "partial 16S ribosomal RNA". It matches the Rfam family "Bacterial small subunit ribosomal RNA", at positions 28 to 507 of the family's 1533-position model. The record is from RNAcentral.
GACGAACGCUGGCGGUGUGCUUAACACAUGCAAGUCGAACGGUGAGGCCCUUUCGGGGGUACACGAGUGGCGAACGGGUGAGUAACACGUGAGUAACCUGCCCUCAUCUCUGGGAUAACAGUCGGAAACGGUUGCUAAUACUGGAUAUGAGCUUGCAAGGCAUCUUGUGGGUUGGAAAGAUUUUUUUUGGUUGGGGAUGGACUCGCGGCCUAUCAGCUUGUUGGUGAGGUAGUGGCUCACCAAGGCUUCGACGGGUAGCCGGCCUGAGAGGGCGACCGGCCACAUUGGGACUGAGAUACGGCCCAAACUCCUACGGGAGGCAGCAGUGGGGAAUAUUGCACAAUGGACGGAAGUCUGAUGCAGCAACGCCGCGUGCGGGAUGACGGCCUUCGGGUUGUAAACCGCUUUCAAUUGUGACGAAGCUUUUUUGUGACGGUAGCAGUAGAAGAAGCACCGGCUAACUACGUG